Molecule: ribosomal RNA, 479 nt
Filed under: uncultured bacterium
Lineage: Bacteria
Description: partial 16S ribosomal RNA
Rfam family: Bacterial small subunit ribosomal RNA
Source: RNAcentral
GAUGAACGCUAGCGGGAGGCCUAACACAUGCAAGCCGAGCGGUAGAGUUUCUUCGGAAACUUGAGAGCGGCGCACGGGCGCGUAACACGUGUGCAAUCUACCUUUAUCUGGGGGAUAGCCUUUCGAAAGGAAGAUUAAUACCCCAUAAUAUAAUGAUUGGCAUCAAUUAUUAUUGAAAACUCCGGUGGAUAGAGAUGGGCACGCGCAAGAUUAGAUAGUUGGUGAGGUAACGGCUCACCAAGUCAAUGAUCUUUAGGGGUCCUGAGAGGGAGAUCCCCCACACUGGUACUGAGACACGGACCAGACUCCUACGGGAGGCAGCAGUGAGGAAUAUUGGACAAUGGGUGAGAGCCUGAUCCAGCCAUCCCGCGUGAAGGAUGACGGUCCCAUGGAUUGUAAACUUCUUUUGUACAGGGAUAAACCUACCCUCGGGAGGGUAGCUGAAGGUACUGUACGAAUAAGCACCGGCUAACUCCGUG